UCCCUGGUGGCUCAGAUGGUAAAGCAUCUGCCCACAAAGCAGGAGACCUGGGUUCGAUCCCUGGAUGGGGAA
This 72-nucleotide transfer RNA is filed under the name Bos taurus (domestic cattle). It matches the Rfam family "tRNA". From Rfam's summary of the family: Transfer RNA (tRNA) molecules are approximately 80 nucleotides in length. The record is from Rfam by way of RNAcentral. Lineage: Eukaryota; Metazoa; Chordata; Mammalia; Artiodactyla; Bovidae. RNAcentral also lists the same sequence under 4 other names.